This is a small nuclear RNA of Camelus dromedarius (Arabian camel), 107 nucleotides long. Lineage: Eukaryota; Metazoa; Chordata; Mammalia; Artiodactyla; Camelidae. The record is from Ensembl.
GUGCUUGCUUUGGCAGCAUAUAUACUAAAACUGGAACAAUACAGAGAAGAUUAGCAUGGCCCCUGCACAAGAAUGACAUGCAAAUUCAUGAAGCAUUCCAUAUUUCU